Molecule: ribosomal RNA, 599 nt
Filed under: uncultured bacterium
Lineage: Bacteria
Description: bacterial SSU rRNA
Rfam family: Bacterial small subunit ribosomal RNA
Source: RNAcentral
UUAGCUAGUUGGUGAGGUAACGGCUCACCAAGGCGACGAUGGGUAGCCGGCCUGAGAGGGUGAACGGCCACACUGGGACUGAGACACGGCCCAGACUCCUACGGGAGGCAGCAGUAGGGAAUAUUGCGCAAUGGAGGGAACUCUGACGCAGCGACGCCGCGUGGGUGAUGAAGGCCUUCGGGUUGUAAAGCCCUGUUGGGGGGGAAGAUAAUGACGGUACCCCCUGAGGAAGCCCCGGCUAACUACGUGCCAGCAGCCGCGGUAAGACGUAGGGGGCGAGCGUUGUCCGGAAUUACUGGGCGUAAAGGGCGUGUAGGCGGCUUUUCAAGUCGGCUGUGAAAUUCCCCGGCUUAACCGGGGGGGUGCAGUCGAAACUGAUGGGCUUGAGUGCAGGAGAGGGUGGUGGAAUUCCCGGUGUAGCGGUGACAUGCGUAGAUAUCGGGAGGAACACCGGUGGCGAAGGCGACCUCCUGGCCUGUUACUGACGCUGAGGCGCGAAAGCUGGGGGAGCAAACAGGAUUAGAUACCCUGGUAGUCCCAGCUGUAAACUCUGGGUACUAGGUGUGGGGGGCUUCGAUGCCCUCUGUGCCGUAGUUAAC